Molecule: ribosomal RNA, 497 nt
Filed under: uncultured bacterium
Lineage: Bacteria
Description: partial 16S ribosomal RNA
Rfam family: Bacterial small subunit ribosomal RNA
Source: RNAcentral
GAUGAACGCUGGCGGCGUGCCUAAUACAUGCAAGUCGAGCGAACAGACGAGGAGCUUGCUCCUCUGACGUUAGCGGCGGACGGGUGAGUAACACGUGGAUAACCUACCUAUAAGACUGGGAUAACUUCGGGAAACCGGAGCUAAUACCGGAUAAUAUAUUGAACCGCAUGGUUCAAUAGUGACAGACGGUUUUGCUGUCACUUAUAGAUGGAUCCGCGCCGCAUUAGCUAGUUGGUAAGGUAACGGCUUACCAAGGCAACGAUGCGUAUCCGACCUGAGAGGGUGAUCCGCCACACUGGAACUGAGACACGGUCCAGACUCCUACGGGAGGCAGCAGUAGGGAAUCUUCCGCAAUGGGCGAAAGCCUGACGGAGCAACGCCGCGUGAGUGAUGAAGGUCUUCGGAUCGUAAAACUCUGUUAUUAGGGAAGAACAAAUGUGUAAGUAACUAUGCACGUCUUGACGGUACCUAAUCAGAAAGCCACGGCUAACUACGUG